UAUGUGGUCCGAAUCAGUGGUGGGAAC
Molecule: non-coding RNA, 27 nt
Filed under: Macaca fascicularis (crab-eating macaque)
Lineage: Eukaryota; Metazoa; Chordata; Mammalia; Primates; Cercopithecidae
Also listed under: 1 other name
Source: RNAcentral